Molecule: long non-coding RNA, 5882 nt
Organism: Hyla sarda
Lineage: Eukaryota; Metazoa; Chordata; Amphibia; Anura; Hylidae
Exons: 4
Source: RefSeq, a predicted model, not a curated record
GUUUCCAUAGCGACUGCUUCACGUCUGUAGUGCGCAUGCGUUGAACUAAAGGCGGGAAUUGUCAGUAUAGAGCCAUCAAGCAUCAUCCAGUCAUCCAGAAUAAAGACACCGGGACACAUACAUAGAGUUGAAAAUUUUUACCAGUCUUUAAUUGAAAUGCUUUUAUAGAUCAGCCUGACACGUCCACGUUACAGAGGGAGCAAAAAACGUGGGAUCUGGCAGACUUACUGGCAGCAUAGUAUCUCCCAGACAGCAGAUAUGCAUUGCAGGUCCCUCUACCUAAGAUCAAGGUAAGCCACUGGUUCCUGGAAAUAUAGCUAUAUAUAUUUAUUUAUUCACCUUAUUAUAAGGUACAUAGAAAUCUCUCUGGGAAUAUAAACAGCCACAAAAUAUAUAGGACAUCUGCUUUCACUUUUUUUUUUUUUUUUUUACAAUUUUAUACAAAAAAAAAAAAAAAAAGAAAUAAUGAUAAGCGUUUAUUAAAACAGCCGCCAUUUUGGAAAAUAUCCCCACAAAAGCAGCAGUUCCCCCUCCCGUGACUAUGAACAUUUAGUGCGCACAUAAAAGCAAGUGGCAAGUAUGACGUGUACCACGUGGUUGUGUGGGGAUUAUAGAGGUACUCAGUGUCAUUACACAUUAUAAGUGUAUAGAGUUAGUUGGUAUCAUUAUACAGUGCAGCAUAUUCAGACACCACCAUAAAGUGCAUCACAUCAGGUAUCAACCAUGUCACAACACCAGCCCAGUUUUGUGACAUAUAUAAGAACAGGAUUGGGAGUGAAGAUGCUGCCCAUCGUCAUAUCCCGUACUGUUACUGCUUUUGUAGAUUGUUACAUACGUACAUAGAAAAAGGACUUUGUGAAUUGCCUUUAACCCCUUUGCUGAUUCCUAAAUAACACAUGUACAUAUACAUUUCACCAGCUGCAUCUAGAAGUCUUGAUAUGUACAGUAGCAUGGGAAUCUGUGUGCAAGCAUCGCUUAAAGCAGAUGUACAGUCAUUGACAUAGACCAGUGUUUCCCAAUCAGUGUUGCCUUAAGCUUUUGCAAAACUACAACUCCCAGCAUGCCAAGACAGCCAAAGGCUGCCCGGGCAUGCUGGGAGUUGUAGUUUUGCAACAGCUGGAGGUACUACUGGUUGGGAAACACUGAAUUAUACACUGCAUUGAAUCCUGUGUAAACCUGAGAAGACAUAGAGAGAGGUGACGGGGGAGGAGAGAGCAUGAGCUAUGCAUUUAUUUGAAGUCAGGGUGACUGUGUAACUAACAUUAGAUGAAUGUUGUCUGAACCCACCGAUUUUGGCAGGACCAGCUGACUAUCUAAUGUGUAUGGAUGGCCUCCCAACUCUCCACCACAGAAGUCAUCGGAACAGAUGGAUUGAGCAUUUGGAUUCCAACAUAAGAUAAGCCACCACCAGAGAUGUCUGCCAGCAGCUUAUCCCCCUCUCUAUUCUCUGUAUGAUGGUGGUGUGUAAGAGGAAAUUAGUUGUCAUCUGAAUGAUAUCUAAGAGAUAUCUAAGGUAUAUUGCCACCUUUAGUCAUAGCUUUAUAGCUGCCCAUCAAUGGGUCCUUUAAGGUAGGGUCACACGUAGUGUAUAUGCUGCAUAUUUUGCUGUGUAUUUUCUGCAGCUGAUUUUGCUACCCAUUGCCAGAAUAUACAGCAUAUACAAUAUGUGGGGCCCUACUCUAAAAUGGAAUUUAUCAUCUUUAUUUUUUUCUAGUAAGUAAAACAAACUGGCAAUAAAUAUUCCUUAUUUCCAAUCUCCUUUGUAUCUAUUAAUGGUACAUGUAUUUAUGCUAUUCUCUGUAUAUGAUUAGGGGAGUGCCCAUCUUGCUUGAGCUGCUAAAAACAGCAUUUGGAGAUAUGUUUUACAGUAGGAACAUAGGAACAUGGACCAUAAGAACAGGUAGUCUGAAGCGGACCUAUUUACUUCUGUAAAAGAGUUUUUGAAAUCUGUCUGUGAUUAAAAGAAGAGACUGCUGAGAAGUUUUUUCUACAAAACAGGAAGUGUCAGCCUAAUAUUAAAGGGGUACACCGCCCCUAGACAUCUUAUCCCCUAUCCAAAGGAUAGGGGAUAAGAUGUCUGAUCACAGGGUUCCCGCAACUGGGACCCCCGCGGUCUCUGUGCAGCAACCGGCAUCCGUGUAGAACGCUGGGUGCGGGCUUCGGGGGUCGUGAUGUCACGGCCACGCCCCUUGUGAUGACACUCCACACCCCCUCAAUUCAAGUAUAUGGGAGGGGGCAUGGCGGCUGCCGCGCCCCCUCCCAUAGACUUGCAUUGAGGGGGCGAGGUGUGACAUCACGAGGGGGCGUGGCUGUGAUGUCACGACACCCACUCCUUGCGUUUGGAACAAAAUGUUCCGAACACUGGGGCAGCGGAGUACCCCUUUAAGCUUGGUGGACAGAGUGAAAACUGCUAGAUUGUUUUAGUAUAGUUCUGUGUAAAAUGAAAUACAUAACUUUACCAUAAAAAUUGGUGUAAACAAUUGGCUGUUGUCUAUUAACACAUUCCCUGUAACUUUUUUCCAUUGACCCAACUAAAAGAAAAAGGAGAAGGUGUCAUAAAUAUAAUUAAGUGUGUUGGGAAACAGCACACAGAGGUAGAGGAAGAAUUCUCAGUACAGGUAAGUGACCAUAGAUCUGCUUUAAGAAGAAAGUGCGGCAUUCAUAGGUACAAAGAGUAAUGUGAAUAAAGUGCCAAAUAACAAUUCCACAAUGUGUUCUUAUUACCAAAAUUUCUACAUUUGCAAGUAGGAGAAUUUCAAACAGAAAGAAGCCAAAUUCCUUAUAAUGUCCAAGUCACCCCUCCCAUCAUAAAGUGAUAGCAUAUCCCAGCAAUAUACCAUCACUUUUUAAGAAAUGGGACUGUUGAAGAUUGUACUGAGCUGUGUUCUGUAGUCCUAGAGUGAGGGAAUUGAGCAGUGAUCAAGCAUGUGCACUACCCUGCAUUCACUCUGGGGACACGGAACCUCUGUACUUGUGAUCGGUGAGGGUCUCAGCAAAUGGACCCUCACCAUUCAGAUGCUUAUCGCCUAUCCACUGUAUAGAAGGUAAGUUAUAAUCUUGUGAUAACCCCAUUGAGGAGUUGCUAUUGUGCAGUUUCUCAGUAAUGUUAACAUCAUCCAGAUAAGUGGACAUUCUGGAAUAGUGUUACAGGUCAGAGUGCUAACUGGAAACAAUUGAACGACAUGCUAGAAAAGCUAUCCUUUCCUUCAUCUGUGCAGCAAUAAGAUAUAUAAUAUAUACAUGACCUCAAGGUGGUGGAAUGAUCCCCCAGGAUGGGACUGGCCAGGUCAUUUUAUUGACUAGUUAAAAGUCAAAAGGUGUCAGGGCAGAAAGUGACCCAUACACUGAAAUCCAUUACUGCACAGAAUGGAUGGGGGAACCCCUAGCCCUUGCCCACUAUCCAGUUGCUCAGAAGUGCAAAAUUCAUACAGUAUAAUCUCACUUACAUGGUAAUAAAGUGGCUUAUCGGGGGGGGUUACACUUUUGUUCCCUUACAUAACAAUGAUGGAGAACAGAAUUCUGAAAGCAUGAGUUGGUCUUGAUAAGCUUCAAAGCAUCACCCUGUUGCAAAACAUUAUGGUAUACAAAUCUGGUGUCCAUGCAAACUACGUUAAGGACAAUUUUUGUUUCCUUUAAGGUUAGACAUGCUUGGUGAUUUAAUCUACUUAUAAAAGCACAUUAGGUGUUGUUGCCCUUUAUAUGAGUCCAUUUUCCCUGUAAAGCUGAAAUUUUACUCCUUAUGCUUAUCAAUUAACCUUUAUACCGUACCUCGCAGGCAAUAUUUUUAGUCUUAGGACUGGUAGCAAAGGUGUCAAUUUUGUGUUUGCUUGUUUCAUUGUUUAGAUUAUGUGUAUAAUAAUAUUUUUUUUUGUUUUUGUUUUUUUUACCAUAGCAGCAAAAAGAUCAUUAGAACAAAAAAUAUGCCACUUCUUUUUUAGACCUGACUGUCAUGCAGACAUGCAAGAAAGAGAGGUGGGAUGGUGCACCCCCAAACCCUGCCCCCACUGACUCUUCUCAAAGUGACAAACACAUGUCAUUUUAUAAAAGGAGAGGGCUGAAGCACAGGCAGGAUUAUCUGGGAAGAAGGGAGAAUGACAGCGAGUGGAGAAAGCACAAGUGACAAGAAGAAUAUAGGGAGAGAAAAGAAAUUAGGGUGUACCAAUAUGGUACUAGAAGAACCCGCUUCCAAUAGAUAAAGAGAAUCAUGGCGCACUACACACCUGUCAGUCUGUGAGGUGAUACAUUUAGGGAGCUGUGGACUUCAAAGAGUCACCUGUUCCCCAGCAAAGAGAUGCCAGAAGAGCAGGGGAGGAAUCUGGGGGCUGCACAUACAGACGGAAUUCAUAUCUAUGAUAUCCAGUGUUUGCAGGAGGAGCGGGACCAUUGUAUUCUGAUUAGAAAAAGUGAAGUCUUAAAAUAAAAUCUUGUACAGGUUUCGAAACAGCAGAAAAUUCUACCUAAUAAUUUGCCUUAUCAAUGUUGAACUGGAAACCUUAAACCUCCCCACUUACUGAUGUUCAUCAAAAAAAUACCUGUACCUCAAAAUAAUUUUAUUUGUAAAAUGCCCCAAGCUCACAACUGUGCUGACUAUAUAACAGCUAAAAGCACCAAUCAGGAGUCAAGAAAUUAGCUUGACAUGUAGGCUCCUCCUAUAUCGGACUCUUUUCUAUCUUUUACAAAAAAAAGAAUCCUGUUUUUCAAAAUGGAAAAAGUAACUCCAGCAAUCCAAUAAAAGACUAAACUUUAUUACGGCAGAUCAAUAAAUACAGCACAAAGAGAAACACAACUACUGACUGUCAACGCGUUUCAGACCUCUCAGUCAGUAGUUGCACUUCUUCAUAUGCUGUAUAUUAUGGAUGUGGUUAAUAAAGUUCAAGUUUUUAUUCAUGUUUUAAUUUUUGCUUUCUGGCAACUCUGUACAGCCCAUAAUACAUUAUAGUUUAGCUGCACACAACACUACAAUGGAGUGCUGAUUUUCAGGGAUGAGGGCUCCCUUCUAGCCCCCUUAAGCAGUCAUUUGGGGGGUGCAGUUUACUGGAUAUGAUUGCCCAGUACAAAUAAAAGGGAAUCAGUCAUUAAUAUCAACCCAUUAACCUGUUGGUACAGGCUUGUAGUACAGGAGAGACUGAUGAUAAUGACACUUACCACAGGUUGAUCUGUUGCCUCGUUCACCUGUUAUGCUUCUUACUGGGUUGAUAGUAAUCAUCAGCUUUGGUGCUAGGGCACCACUCGAGCACCAAACCUGCCACCCAAAUGAGGAGGAUAGUGGGUGGAUGGAGCUAUAGCUCGGGGAUAGGUAAGUAUCACCCGCAUCAGUCUGUACCAUCAUGUUAGAGCAGGUGACAAUGAUGACACAUUCCCUUUAAAUAUUCAAUUCAAUGGUUGCAGGCAGAAGCCACUGAGGACCACCCUGAUGUCUUGUGGUUCAGGCAGCAUUGAAAUGAUGAUGCUUUCCCAUUAAGCCAUAGAAUACGGCUAAGGCCUCUUUCACACUACCGUUAUCACACGGUAGUGUGACGGCUGUCGCGGCUCCCGGGGAAAAUAGCGGUAGAAAAAAAAAUACAGUUUGUGGUUUUUUUUCUCCCGCUACUCCAGCUGAAAAACAGCGGCACCCAGCGGACCCCAUUGACUAUAAUGGGGUCCAUCGGGACCCGCUGUUGCCCGUUGCGCGCCUUCAAAAAAGAAGAGAGAGUUUGCCAUUCUUGACGGGGCGCAGCGUGAAAGAAGCCUAAAUCUUAAAUCAAGAGGAGUAACUUACUGAAGACCAAAAUGCAGCCACAAUAAUUUAAUUCAUGUUAAAAGCAAGGGGAUGAUAUUGAAGCUUUCAGUUUUCAAAGGACAGCUAAAAAAAAAAUACCUAGAGCUUGAAAGGGUACACGCAC